GCGGGUGUCGUAUAAUGGUUAUUAUAUAUCCUUGCCAAGGAUAAGAUGGCAGUUCGAUUCUGCUCACCCGCUCCA
Molecule: transfer RNA, 75 nt
Filed under: Parcubacteria group bacterium ADurb.Bin247
Lineage: Bacteria
Also listed under: 1 other name
Description: tRNA-Gly
Rfam family: tRNA
About the family: Transfer RNA (tRNA) molecules are approximately 80 nucleotides in length. Their secondary structure includes four short double-helical elements and three loops (D, anti-codon, and T loops). Further hydrogen bonds mediate the characteristic L-shaped molecular structure. tRNAs have two regions of fundamental functional importance: the anti-codon, which is responsible for specific mRNA codon recognition, and the 3' end, to which the tRNAs corresponding amino acid is attached (by aminoacyl-tRNA synthetases). tRNAs cope with the degeneracy of the genetic code in two manners: having more than one tRNA (with a specific anti-codon) for a particular amino acid; and 'wobble' base-pairing, i.e. permitting non-standard base-pairing at the 3rd anti-codon position.
Source: RNAcentral